This 913-nucleotide ribosomal RNA is filed under the name uncultured marine archaeon. RNAcentral describes it as "bacterial SSU rRNA". It matches the Rfam family "Archaeal small subunit ribosomal RNA", at positions 1 to 921 of the family's 1478-position model. The record is from RNAcentral.
UUCCGGUUGAUCCUGCCGGACCUGACUGCUAUCGGAUUGAUACUAAGCCAUGCGAGUCUUUGUAGUAAUACAAGGCAUACGGCUCAGUAACGCGUAGUCAACCUACCCUAUGGACAAGAAUAAUCUCGGGAAACUGAGCAUAAUUCUUGAUAGAUCAUAAUGCCUGGAAUGGUUUAUGGUUAAAAUGAUUCGUCGCCAUAGGAUGGGACUGCGGCCUAUCAGCUUGUUGGUGAGGUAAUGGCCCACCAAGGCGAUUACAGGUACGGGCUCUGAGAGGAGAAGCCCGGAGAUGGGUACUGAGACAAGGACCCAGGCCCUAUGGGGCGCAGCAGGCGAGAAAACUUUGCAAUGUGCGAAAGCACGACAAGGUUAGUCCGAGUGAUUUCUGCUAAAGAGAUCUUUUGCUAGUCAUAAAACCACUAGUGAAUAAGGGGUGGGCAAGUUCUGGUGUCAGCCGCCGCGGUAAAACCAGCACCUCAAGUGGUCAGGAUGAUUAUUGGGCCUAAAGCAUCCGUAGCCGGCUCUGUAAGUUUUCGGUUAAAUCUAUGCGCUCAACGUAUGGGCUGCCGAAAAUACUGCAGAGAUAGGGAGUGGGAGAGGUAGACGGUACUCGGUAGGAAGGGGUAAAAUCCUUUGAUCUAUCGAUGACCACCUGUGGCGAAGGCGGUCUACCAGAACACGUUCGACGGUGAGGGAUGAAAGCUGGGGGAGCAAACCGGAUUAGAUACCCGGGUAGUCCCAGCUGUAAACGAUGCAGACUCGAUGAUGCAUUGGCAUAUAGCCAGUGCAGUGUCGCAGGGAAGCCGUUAAGUCUGCCGCCUGGGAAGUACGUACGCAAGUAUGAAACUUAAAGGAAUUGGCGGGGGAGCACCACAAGGGGUGAAGCCUGCGGUUCAAUUGGAUUCAACGCCGG